AUGGAGAUGCCGAGGGUCUCUGAGGAAACUGUGGCCGCCGUCGUGCCCAUCGCCGUGUACUGGGCCUACGCCAGCGUGCACACGGCGCUGGGGCAUUCGCGGCUCAUGGACAAGUACAGGCUCAACACCAAGGACGAGGAGGACCGCAAGAACAUGGUGUCCAAGCGCGCCGUCAUCCUCAACGUCCUCAUGCAGCACCUCAUGCAGCUCGCCGCCCUCGCCGUGCUCGCCAUGGUUACGGGAGGAAGAGGAGCGACGGCGUCGAAGGCCGCUGGCGGCUCACGGGCGGCGGAGUACCUGACGGCGGCGGCCCGGAUCGCGGUGGCCGUGCUGGUGUUCGACGCGUACCGGUACGCGUGGCACCGCCUGGCGCACAUCAACCGGUUCAUUUACCGGCACCUCCACUCGUGGCACCACCGCAUCGUGGUGCCCUACGCGUUCGGCGCCAUCUACGGCCACCCGAUCGAGGUCCUCAUCGCCGACACGGCCGGGGCCUCGCUCGCCGUCCUCGUUACCGGCCUGUCGCCAUCGUCGCCGCGCGCCACGGCCGUGUUCCUCACCCUCUGCACCGUGAAGGCCAUCGACAACCACUGUGGCGUGUGCCUGCUGCCGCGCCGCCUGCAGUCGGUCUGGAACGGCGCCGCGUACCACGGCGUGCACCACAUGCCGCGCGGCGUCCGGUACAACUUCUCCGACCUCUUCUUCGUGACAUGGGACCAUGUGUUCGGGACCCACAUGCCCUACGCCGUCGAGGAGAGGCCGGGCGGCGAUGGACUCAUGCUCAAGCCCCUGCCGCCUCCCAAGGCAACUAAUUAG
RNAcentral lists this ribosomal RNA (816 nucleotides) under Triticum aestivum (bread wheat). Its description in RNAcentral is "partial small subunit ribosomal RNA". Lineage: Eukaryota; Viridiplantae; Streptophyta; Magnoliopsida; Poales; Poaceae. The record is from RNAcentral.